This 404-nucleotide ribosomal RNA is filed under the name uncultured bacterium. RNAcentral's name for it is "bacterial SSU rRNA". It matches the Rfam family "Bacterial small subunit ribosomal RNA", at positions 28 to 428 of the family's 1533-position model. The record is from RNAcentral.
GACGAACGCUGGCGGCGCGCCUAAUACAUGCAAGUCGAGCGAGAAGACGUAGCAAUACGUUUGUAAAGCGGCGAACGGGUGAGGAAUACAUGGGUAACCUACCCUCGAGUGGGGAAUAACUAGCCGAAAGGUUAGCUAAUACCGCGUACGCUCCUUGGACUUCGGUUCAGGGAGGAAAGCGAUACCGUGGGUAUCGCGCUCUUGGAUGGGCUCAUGUCCUAUCAGCUUGUUGGUGAGGAACGGCUCACCAAGGCUUCGACGGUAGCUGGUCUGAGAGGACGAUCAGCCACACUGGCACUGCGACACGGGCCAGACUCCUACGGGAGGCAGCAGUAGGGAAUAUUGCGCAAUGGGCGAAAGCCUGACGCAGCGAUGCCGCGUGGAUGAUGAAGGCCUGGUCGUAA